RNAcentral lists this ribosomal RNA (253 nucleotides) under uncultured bacterium. RNAcentral's name for it is "partial 16S ribosomal RNA". It matches the Rfam family "Bacterial small subunit ribosomal RNA", at positions 524 to 776 of the family's 1533-position model. The record is from RNAcentral.
UACAGAGGUCCCAAGCGUUAUCCGGAUUCACUGGGUUUAAAGGGUGCGUAGGCGGGGAAGUAAGUCCGUGGUGAAAUCUCUGAGCUUAACUCAGAAACUGCCGUGGAUACUAUUUGCCUUGAAUAUUGUGGAGGUGAGCGGAAUAUGUCAUGUAGCGGUGAAAUGCUUAGAUAUGACAUAGAACACCAAUUGCGAAGGCAGCUCACUACACAAUGAUUGACGCUGAGGCACGAAAGCGUGGGGAUCAAACAGG